GUAGCCAAACUUUCAUACAAAGGUAACCAUUUUAGUUUUAAUUUGUAAGUAACCAAAUAAUCAUAAAUAUUUGAUGAUUUACCAUUGUUUCUUUCUCCGAUCGGAGCUCUCUUUGUUCGAUGGAGGCUAUCUUUGCUUGUGGGACAUAUAUAGUUCAGAUGUGUGCACAAACUCUGUUCUGCUUCAGCACUUGAUAAAUUCAAGACAUACAGAUCACUGGAAUCCGUUUUCCAAGCUUCCAGAUAUAGGUAAAUCGGAAAAUGACAAACCCAGAGUUCAUACAUCUUUUAAAUUCUACAUCAACAAAUGAGAUAACACCAGACAACUACAUGGUAAGCCUAUUAUCUUAAGUCCUAGCCUAGUACCAUAACGGGGAAAAAAUUGGGUUAAACCAACUUGAGUCGAGCGUCGAAUUGUCCUGCUGUUCAUAUGUGGUCAUAAAAUUACUGAGCCUAAUUUUUUUUUAAAUCUCUAACAAUAACCAAGAAACAGAUAGCUUAGAAUCAGCAAAAAACCAUGCACUUUGUUGGGUUGAGGUUUUUAGAUUCUCCAGGCAAAGAUACAUUAUUUUCCGCACCAAAAACCUUAGAGCCGUGAAAAGGGUUCCCAGAACCCAAGUUAUCUCUGUGAUAUGAAGCAGGAUUGAGAUUUGGCUUUGUUCCACUAUAGACUCCAUCAGUUCAUUCUCCAGAAAUAUGAUUGGAUAGACUGCAAUUCGGCAAAACUGAAAUAAGAGUAUAUAUUAGGAGGAUGAAGGAGCGGCAGAGGAGGAAGAUAAAUGGGAGAAGAGAGGAGGCAGUAAGAGAAUGACGGAUGAGAGAUGUUGGGUUUGUUUUAG
This 838-nucleotide long non-coding RNA is filed under the name Panax ginseng (ginseng). RNAcentral describes it as "long non-coding RNA (PGIN_LNC004616)". The record is from RNAcentral. Lineage: Eukaryota; Viridiplantae; Streptophyta; Magnoliopsida; Apiales; Araliaceae.